RNAcentral lists this ribosomal RNA (118 nucleotides) under Pteropus alecto (black flying fox). Lineage: Eukaryota; Metazoa; Chordata; Mammalia; Chiroptera; Pteropodidae. The record is from RNAcentral.
GUCUACAGCCAUGCCACCCUGAACAUACCUGAUCCCGUCUGAUCUCGGAAGCUAAGCGGGGUCGGGCCUGGUUAGUACUUGGAUGGAGACCACCUAGGAAGAGCAGGUGCUGUAGGCG